CAGUGUUCAUCGUGGUGAUCAGAUGGCACCAGGACCAAAGGAGCCCUGGCUAGUGUGAGUCAGAGCAGUGCAGGGGGGGAGACCCCGAUGGAGAGCCCACCUAAGCUGAUGUCUGCAGAUUUCCAGAGCCUGAGGAUGUGCAUGUUCUCCG
RNAcentral lists this long non-coding RNA (151 nucleotides) under Vulpes vulpes (red fox). RNAcentral's name for it is "Nuclear enriched abundant transcript 1 conserved region 3 (ENSVVUG00000020195.1)". It matches the Rfam family "Nuclear enriched abundant transcript 1 conserved region 3". Lineage: Eukaryota; Metazoa; Chordata; Mammalia; Carnivora; Canidae. The record is from RNAcentral.